This 73-nucleotide transfer RNA is filed under the name Scleropages formosus (Asian bonytongue). Its description in RNAcentral is "tRNA-Phe". Lineage: Eukaryota; Metazoa; Chordata; Actinopteri; Osteoglossiformes; Osteoglossidae. The record is from RNAcentral.
GGUGCUGUGGCCUUGUGGUUAAGAGUGUUUAAACUGAAGCUGGAAGGUCGUGGGUUCAAUGCCCACCGGGCCA